This 200-nucleotide ribosomal RNA is filed under the name uncultured eukaryote. Its description in RNAcentral is "partial 18S ribosomal RNA". It matches the Rfam family "Eukaryotic small subunit ribosomal RNA", at positions 588 to 796 of the family's 1831-position model. The record is from RNAcentral.
GCUCCAAUAGCGUAUAUUUAAGUUGCUGCAGUUAAAAAGCUCGUAGUUGGAUUCUGCUGAGGACGACCGGUCCGCCUCUGGGUGAGCAUCUGGCUCGGCCUUGGCAUCUUCUUGGAGAACGUAUCUGCACUUCAUUGUGUGGUGCGGUAACCAGGACUUUUACUUUGAGGAAAUAGAGUGUUUCAAGCAGGCGUGCGCCU